GUUAGGAAUAUUGGACAAUGGGCGCAAGCCUGAUCCAGCCAUGCCGCGUGAGUGAUGAUGGCCUUCGGGUUGUAAAGCUCUUUAGUCCACGAAUAUAAUGACUGUAGUGGAAGAAUACGCCCCGGCUAACUUCGUGCCAGCAGCCGCGGUAAUACGAAGGGGGCGAGCGUUAUUCGGAAUCACUGGGCGUAAAGCGUGCGUAGGCUGUUUUGUAAGUCAGAAGUGAAAGCCCAGGGCUUAACCCUGGAAUUGCUUUUGAAACUACAAGACUCGAAUUCGGGAGAGGAUAGCGGAAUUGUCAGUGUAGCAGUGAAAUGCGUAGAUAUUGACAGGAACACCAGUGGCGCAAGCGGCUAUCUGGACCGAUAUUGACGCUGAGGCACGAAAGCGUGGGGAGCAAACAGGAUUAGAAACCCCUGUAGUCC
RNAcentral lists this ribosomal RNA (425 nucleotides) under uncultured bacterium. RNAcentral's name for it is "partial 16S ribosomal RNA". It matches the Rfam family "Bacterial small subunit ribosomal RNA", at positions 354 to 796 of the family's 1533-position model. The record is from RNAcentral.